CAGGAUUAGAUACCCUGGUAGUCCACGCUGUAAACGAUGGAUGCUAGGUGUAGGAGAUAUCGACCCCUUCUGUGCCGGAGUUAACACAAUAAGCAUCCCGCCUGGGGAGUACGGCCGCAAGGUUGAAACUCAAAGGAAUUGACGGGGGCCCGCACAAGCAGCGGAGCAUGUGGUUUAAUUCGAAGCAACGCGAAGAACCUUACCAGGUCUUGACAUCGAUGGAACCUGUAGAGAUACGGGGCGCCCUUCGGGGCCCUGAAGACAGGUGGUGCAUGGUUGUCGUCAGCUCGUGUCGUGAGAUGUUGGGUUAAGUCCCGCAACGAGCGCAACCCUUGUUGUCAGUUACUAACGCACAAUGGCGAGGACUCUGACGAGACUGCCGGGGACAACUCGGAGGAAGGUGGGGACGACGUCAAAUCAUCAUGCCCCUUAUGACCUGGGCUACACACGUGCUACAAUGGCCACUACAAAGAGAGGCGAGGUCGCAAGACGGAGCAGAUCUGGAAAAAGUGGUCUCAGUUCAGAUCGUGGGCUGCAACCCGCCCACGUGAAGUCGGAGUUGCUAGUAAUCGCGAAUCAGCAUGUCGCGGUGAAUACGUUCCCGGGCCUUGUACACACCGCCCGUCACACCAUGGGAGUUGGGAGCACCCGAAGCGGGUGAGGUAACCGAAAGGAGCCAGCCUUCGAAGGUGAGAUCAAUGACUGGGGUGAAGUCGUAACAAGG
Molecule: ribosomal RNA, 724 nt
Filed under: uncultured bacterium
Lineage: Bacteria
Description: bacterial SSU rRNA
Rfam family: Bacterial small subunit ribosomal RNA
Source: RNAcentral